This 221-nucleotide ribosomal RNA is filed under the name uncultured bacterium. Its description in RNAcentral is "partial 16S ribosomal RNA". It matches the Rfam family "Bacterial small subunit ribosomal RNA", at positions 524 to 744 of the family's 1533-position model. The record is from RNAcentral.
GACAGAGGCCUCAAGCGUUAGGCGGAAUCACUGGGCUUAAAGCGUGUGUAGGCGGAUCGUUAAGUGUCUUGUGAAAUCCCACGGCUCACCCGUGGAACUGCUGGGCAUACUGGCGAUCUUGGGCCAACUAGGGGCAACUGGAACAAGCGGUGGAGCGGUGAAAUGCGUAGAUAUCGCUUGGAACGCCAAGGGUGAAAACAGGUUGCUGGGGUUGUGCCGAC